This is a long non-coding RNA of Solanum pennellii, 609 nucleotides long. RefSeq lists it as uncharacterized. Lineage: Eukaryota; Viridiplantae; Streptophyta; Magnoliopsida; Solanales; Solanaceae. The transcript has 4 exons. The record is from RefSeq and is a predicted model, not a curated record.
UUGACAUUUUUCUCUGAAAUUCGCAUAGCAUCCUGUAGCUAAUUGCACAAAUUUGGCUUCAUGGAACUCAAAUUUCGACAUCGAGAUUACAAAAGUGAAGAACAAGUCCACUCUCUCCAUCGGGUGGCAGCAGUGACUCAUCCUCUCUCACUUCAAUCACCGUCGCGUGACCAGAUAUAACCACUCUUGCUCUUAUUGAUAUAUGUAACUGUCAACAAUCUGUUGGGAAUUCCGCAAAGCAAAUUCAACAGGACAUUCAAGACAACUAUGGAAGCUCUAUCGAGGUCCAUACUCGCGAUCUUUUUUGUGACAACAGAUGAAGAUCAUGAUGAUGAUGACUUUGAGAAUGAAGUUCCUUCUUGCCGCAAUAAUGUUGAGGAAUCAAAUGACGAUGACCGCGAUGAUGAUGAUGAUGAUGAAGAAGAAGAAGAGAAGAUGACAGAUGACGAUGAAUAUGACGAUGAUGACCUCUAAAAGAUGGUUUGUAAAUUAGCCUACUCAAAAUUUAUAUCUUUUUUAAGAAUCAAGCAAUAAAUAUUAUUUUAUUUUAUCAAAAUGAACGAGUUAAAGUGGAUAUUUAUUUUUAGCAGUAAAAAGAAGUAUAACCGA